CAAAAAAGCCGGAAUAGCUCAGUUGGUAGAGCAGAG
RNAcentral lists this transfer RNA (36 nucleotides) under Drepanocladus longifolius. Its description in RNAcentral is "partial tRNA-Phe". Lineage: Eukaryota; Viridiplantae; Streptophyta; Bryopsida; Hypnales; Amblystegiaceae. The record is from RNAcentral.